RNAcentral lists this ribosomal RNA (516 nucleotides) under uncultured organism. Its description in RNAcentral is "bacterial SSU rRNA". It matches the Rfam family "Bacterial small subunit ribosomal RNA", at positions 88 to 601 of the family's 1533-position model. The record is from RNAcentral.
GAGUAGAGUGGCGCACGGGUGAGNUACACGUAAACAAUCUAUCCUUUGGUUGGGGAGUGCUACUGGAAACGGUAGCUAAUACCCGAUAAGUCUGAGAGGUCUGCGGAUUUUUCAGAGAAAGGCGAGACACGCCGGAGGGUGAGUUUGCGUCCCAUCAGCUAGAUGGUAGGGUAAGGGCCUACCAUGGCGAUGACGGGUAGCUGGUUUGAGAGGAUGAUCAGCCACACUGGGACUGAGACACGGCCCAGACUCCUACGGGAGGCAGCAGUGGGGAAUAUUGGACAAUGGGGGCAACCCUGAUCCAGCCAUGCCGCGUGAAGGAAGAAGGUUUUCGGAUCGUAAACUUCUGUUGGGAGGGAAGAAAGACCGUUUUAUAGACGGUGAUGACGGUACCUCCUUAGCAAGCACCGGCUAACUCCGUGCCAGCAGCCGCGGUAAUACGGAGGGUGCGAACGUUGCUCGGAAUCACUGGGCUUAAAGGGCUCGUAAGCGGUUAUGUAAGUUAGGUGUGAAAUC